GACGAACGCUGGCGGCGUGCUUAACACAUGCAAGUCGAACGGAAAGGCCCUGCUUGCCGGGUACUCGAGUGGCGAACGGGUGAGUAACACGUGGGUGAUCUGCCCUGCACUUCGGGAUAAGCCUGGGAAACUGGGUCUAAUACCGGAUAGGAGCCAUUUUUAGUGUGAUGGUUGGAAAGUUUUUUCGGUGUAGGAUGAGCUCGCGGCCUAUCAGCUUGUUGGUGGGGUAAUGGCCUACCAAGGCGGCGACGGGUAGCCGGCCUGAGAGGGUGGACGGCCACAUUGGGACUGGGAUACGGCCCAGACUCCUACGGGAGGCAGCAGUGGGGAAGAUUGCACAAUGGGCGCAAGCCUGAUGCAGCGACGCCGCGGGGGGGAUGACGGCCUUCGGGUUGUAAACUCCUUUCGCUAGGGACGAAGCUUUUUGUGACGGUACCUAGAUAAGAAGCACCGGCUAACUACGUG
RNAcentral lists this ribosomal RNA (465 nucleotides) under uncultured bacterium. RNAcentral describes it as "partial 16S ribosomal RNA". It matches the Rfam family "Bacterial small subunit ribosomal RNA", at positions 28 to 507 of the family's 1533-position model. The record is from RNAcentral.